Molecule: transfer RNA, 77 nt
Filed under: Streptomyces sp. PTY087I2
Lineage: Bacteria; Bacillati; Actinomycetota; Actinomycetes; Kitasatosporales; Streptomycetaceae
Description: tRNA-Arg
Source: RNAcentral
GCCCGCACUGGCGGGGGCCGUCGCCGGGGCCCCGCUCCGGCCGGCGCCCGACGCGGGCUCCGGUCCCGCUGCCGCCG